Unclassified non-coding RNA from Saimiri boliviensis boliviensis (Bolivian squirrel monkey), 117 nucleotides. It matches the Rfam family "Y RNA". From Rfam's summary of the family: Y RNAs are components of the Ro ribonucleoprotein particle (Ro RNP), in association with Ro60 and La proteins. The Y RNAs and Ro60 and La proteins are well conserved, but the function of the Ro RNP is not known. The record is from Ensembl. Lineage: Eukaryota; Metazoa; Chordata; Mammalia; Primates; Cebidae.
GGCUGGUCUGAAGGUAGUGAGUUAUCUCAAUUGAUUGUUCAUGGUCAGUUACAGAUCAAACUCCUUGUUCCAUUCUUUCCCCAACCCUUCUCACUACUGUACUUGACUAUGCUUUAA